This 253-nucleotide ribosomal RNA is filed under the name uncultured bacterium. Its description in RNAcentral is "partial 16S ribosomal RNA". It matches the Rfam family "Bacterial small subunit ribosomal RNA", at positions 524 to 776 of the family's 1533-position model. The record is from RNAcentral.
UACGUAGGGGGCAAGCGUUGUCCGGAAUCCUUGGGCGUAAAGAGCGUGUAGGCGGUUCGGUAAGUCGGCUGUGAAAGUCCAGGGCUCAACCCUGGGAUGCCGGUCGAUACUGCCGGACUAGAGUUCGGAAGAGGCGAGUGGAAUUCCCGGUGUAGCGGUGAAAUGCGCAGAUAUCGGGAGGAACACCUAUGGCGAAGGCAGCUCGCUGGGACGUUACUGACGCUGAGGCACGAAAGCGUGGGUAGCAAACAGG